GAUGAAGAACGUAGCGAAAUGCGAUACUUGGUGUGAAUUGCAGAAUCCCGUGAACCAUCGAGUCUUUGAACGCAAGUUGCGCCUCAAGCCAUUAGGUUGAGGGCACGUCUGCCUGGGCGUCACAUAUCGUUGCCUGAUGCCAGUUUCCUCGUGAUGGGUGACUGUGCAGGGCGAAUGAUGGCUUCCCGUGAGCAUUGUUGCCUCAUGGUUGGUUGAAAAUUGAGUCCUUGGUAGGGAGCGCCGUGAUAGAUGGUGGUUGAGUGACGAACGAGACCCAAGCAUGUGAGACCCCUACCGAAUUUGGCCUUCAUGACCCACAUGCGUCUUUGGAACGCUCAUGACGAGACCUCAGGUCAGGCGGGGCUACCCGCUGAGUUUAAGCAUAUCAAUAAGCGGAGGA
Molecule: unclassified non-coding RNA, 400 nt
Filed under: soil metagenome
Description: partial contains 5.8S ribosomal RNA, internal transcribed spacer 2, and large subunit ribosomal RNA
Rfam family: 5.8S ribosomal RNA (bases 1-122)
Source: RNAcentral